RNAcentral lists this ribosomal RNA (936 nucleotides) under uncultured bacterium. RNAcentral describes it as "bacterial SSU rRNA". It matches the Rfam family "Bacterial small subunit ribosomal RNA", at positions 8 to 936 of the family's 1533-position model. The record is from RNAcentral.
AGAGUUUGAUCCUGGCUCAGAACGAACGCUGGCGGCGUGUUUAAGACAUGCAAGUCGUACGAGGGACUUUGAUAGCUUGCUAGAGAAGUUCCUAGUGGCGCACGGGUGAGUAACACGUGAGUUACAUGCCCUGCAGUGGGGGAUAGCCCGCCGAAAGGCGGAUUAAUACCCCAUGGUUUCCGCAAGGAUAAAGGUGGCUUCGGCUGCCGCUGCAGGAUUGGCUCGCGUCCUAUCAGCUUGUUGGUGAGGUAACGGCUCACCAAGGCAACGACGGGUACCUGGUUUGAGAGGAUGAUCAGGCACACUGGAACUGAGACACGGUCCAGACACCUACGGGUGGCAGCAGUCGAGAAUAAUUCACAAUGGGCGAAAGCCUGAUGGUGCAACGCCGCGUGGAGGAUGACGGUCUUCGGAUUGUAAACUCCUGUCAUUUGAGAGCAAGACCUGGCGGUGAAUAGCCGACAGGGUUGAUAGUAUCGAAAGAGGAAGGGACGGCUAACUUCGUGCCAGCAGCCGCGGUAAUACGAAGGUCCCGAGCGUUGUUCGGAAUCACUGGGCGUAAAGGGAGCGUAGGCGGCAAGGUAAGUCAGGUGUGAAAUCCCGGGGCUCAACCCCGGAACUGCACCCGAUACUGCUUUGCUAGAGUAAUGGAGGGGUAGCUGGAAUUCUCGGUGUAGCAGUGAAAUGCGUGGAUAUCGAGAGGAACACUUGUGGCGAAGGCGAGCUACUGGACAUUUACUGACGCUGAGGCUCGAAGGCCAGGGUAGCGAAAGGGAUUAGAUACCCCUGUAGUCCUGGCAGUAAACGGUGUGCGCUUGGUGUGAGGGGUUUCGACCCCCCUUGUGCCGGAGCUAACGCGUUAAGCGCACCGCCUGGGGAGUACGGUCGCAAGACUAAAACUCAAAGAAAUUGACGGGGACCCGCACAAGCGGUGGA